This 1948-nucleotide long non-coding RNA is filed under the name Elaeis guineensis (African oil palm). RNAcentral's name for it is "long non-coding RNA (EGUI_LNC003504)". Lineage: Eukaryota; Viridiplantae; Streptophyta; Magnoliopsida; Arecales; Arecaceae. The record is from RNAcentral.
CCAAAAGGUAGCUCAAUAACAAGCGUGCUUCCAGGGGUCCGUACUUCGUCGAACUCGGUGGGGACUUCCUUCGAACGGUAGGUAAUGAAUGCUUGCUUUAAAUUCUUAGACGAUUGCAUGGCCGAUUACCUGCUAAAGUUUUUCAUUGUUUUGAGAUCAAUUUUAUUUUAUUCUGACAAGUUUGUGGGUUUGAUUCGAGAUAGAGUUGGUAAAAUACGAUGUCUGAUGCAAUCGAGCCUGUGAUUCAUAUCAUCUGUUAUUCUUUAUUCUAUUAGGAUAUGGUGGUUCUUCUGGUGGGUUUCCCCUUCUUGCAUCAGAAAAAAACUUCCCGUUGAAGCUUAUGGCUUGGUUAUUUGUGAUUCAUGAGAUUUUGAAUGCAUUUCAAGGAUGAAGUGUGAUCAUCGUGGAGGUUGUGGAAAGGAAAAAACUAAGAUGUGGUUCAUUAGAGUGUGAAAGGUUUGCUUCAAUGGAACUUUCAAAAGAUCUUCUUUGGCUGUGCUAUAAUAUUGGAUUUUUGGCAUCAUUAUUGGCGAGUUAUUAGCACAUCCAUGCCUCAUAACCUUCCAUGAGUUUCAUGUUGCUUGAUUAGUUGGGAGUGCGAAUCUUAUUUUGAAUUUACUACUAACAAGGAAUUAAUUAGGAAAUGAUACCUAAAACAAUAAAUGUGGUGCUAAAGAAUAAAGAGAAUAAGUGAUUGAAGAGUCCUCUUUGAGCUGCCAAACGGAGUUUCAGUUUUUCAGCUAAAAAAUGUGAUUAGGUUUGAAAGCCUUUUGAUUGACCCUGCCAUGAUUUUCUAAUAGAAAAUGUGGUGAAAUUCAAUCAAACAUGUGGAGAAUGAAGUAUGAAAUGUCACUGCAUGACAUCAUGUGAGUAUUUUAAGCUUUUCUUUUCUUUUUUUUUUUUUGUUGGGGGGGGAGGGGGGGGGCGCGGGGGUGGUUUGACAUAUGAGAAGAAUUAUAGAAAAUGAUAUCAUGUUAUCAUUUCAUAGAUCUCCUUUAAGAGAUUGGCGUAUAUAACAACUAUAGGGCCCACAAGAAAUUUGAGUAUAUGAGUGCACAUGAGAGAGAGAGAGAGAGAUCAGUUACAAUUUGUUGGCAUAACUCAAAGAAAUUCUUCAUUCUCAACUAUGAACAGUUUAUCAUUAUCCCUAAUCACUUCAAUGGAGUCAAUUUCUGCUCCUUCUUCAUUUGUUAUAACUGUGCGAUUUGCAACAACUCCAAACUUCUCCCCUGCCAACAAAUAAGAAACUCCAUUUUCAGUUUUAUACAGACUAGACAUUCUUGAAUACAAUAAAUAUGCAUUGCUAAUGAUUCCAACAAGAUAAGAUUUGAAUUAUAUAUGGACUAUGUGGUUUGUCCAAUAGAAGUAAUAGUGAUAAUGCAAAAUGAUUGGUGGUUUUUGUGAUUCCCAUAGCACGAAAUAAGAAACAUAUACAUACCAGCAAUUUCUUUGAGAUCUUCUAUCGUAUUUGGCAAGUUUAUCAGCUUCCCAGCUUCUGAGCUGGAGUUUCUGAGAAAUGGAUGGCCUUUGUAUAUGCUAACUCUUGGAUAAAUUCCACCUCUUGUGCCCCACUUCGUCAUAUGACUUUUUUCCUCUGAAACCUUUAUUUGCUUAAGCUCUUCGUGGGAUUCUAGUAUUGCUAUUGGAUAACCAACUUCUCUCUUUUGUACCAGCUCUUGUAUAUCUGCCUCAGUCAUUUUUCUUGUUUCCAAACUGCUGAGAUUGAUGUUUUCUACAUUGGCGCCGUUCAUGACCAACAACUUAAUCAUGUCUGUGUGGUUUUCAGCAAAUGCUGCUUGCAGGGGAGUUAGUCCUUCAUUAUUCUCUGAAUUUAUGUCUAAACCAUGUUUUAACAACUCCUUUAUUGUAGAAAGAUCAUUUCUUUUUGCUGCAAGGACGAGAAGAUUGCCACCGAUGUGGGGAUUGGAGAUGCAUGCAUAAUGGUACA